RNAcentral lists this ribosomal RNA (490 nucleotides) under uncultured bacterium. RNAcentral's name for it is "partial 16S ribosomal RNA". It matches the Rfam family "Bacterial small subunit ribosomal RNA", at positions 30 to 507 of the family's 1533-position model. The record is from RNAcentral.
AUUGAACGCUGGCGGCAGGCCUAACACAUGCAAGUCGAACGGAAACAGGAAGCAGCUUGCUGCUUCGCUGACGAGUGGCGGACGGGUGAGUAAUGUCGGGGAAGCUGCCUGAUGGAGGGGGAUAACUACUGGAAACGGUAGCUAAUACCGCAUAAUGUCGCAAGAGCAAAGAGGGGGACCGUCGGGCGUCUUGCCAUUGGAUGUGCCCAGAUGGGGUUAGCUUGUUGGUGGGGUAACGGCUCACCAAGGCGACGAUCCAUAGCCGGCCUGAGAGGAUGAGGGGCCACACGGGAACUGAGACACGGUCCAGACCCCUACGGGAGGCAGCAGUAGGGAAUCUUCCGCAAUGGGCGAAAGCCUGACGGAGCAACGCCGCGUGAUUGAUGAAGGUCUUCGGAUCGUAAAACUCUGUUAUUAGGGAAGAACAUAUGUGUAAGUACCUGUGCACAUCUUGACGGUACCUAAUCAGAAAGCCACGGCUAACUACGUG